UGUUUCCAGCUGAGUUCAGGAAGAGCUUGGGAGCAGAGUGCUUUGGUCUUGCUAGAAGGAAGCAUCUUGUUCCUUUUCUUAUCAGCCUGAGCAGAUAGUGGAGUUGAGCAAUACCCAGAACUAGAAUAGGAUCCAGUGUGCUCCUACCUUACAGAUCCAUGCUCUCAAUGGAAGCUGGUGUUUUGCUUUUCCUUCGGUUGCUCUCAGAUGAAGAUGCACCUAUGGUGGGACUGAAGUAGAAGACUUCGCAGGCAAGCUAGCCGGUAUAGGAAGCAAGCUGGAUUAAAGUUUGAGGUUGGCUGGAGUGUAUAUCCACUUCAUUAGGGUGGCAAGGUGGUGUCUGUAGUAAAGGGACAUGAGAGGUUCCCCUGUGCCUUAGCUGUGGACAGCCCUGCAAUCAAGGGAUGAAGGCUUUUGAAGCCCUUAGGAGAUGUCUUUUGUUUGGAUUCUGGGCAAGUCCAUUUCUUCCUUCAUUGAGUUGGAAGGCUAAAUUAAGUUAGCCCUACCACCAGCAGAGUGAGUUCCUGAGUCAGUAAAGGAGGGAAAUCAAGCCAGAGGCCUAUGUUUGACCAGGGAGGAGACACUACCUGAAUAAAGAAUGGGUGCAUCUGGGGAUGAAAGCAUUCAGGUUUCUUUCAGAAAAUGGCUGUAGUCCUGGAACUUCUACCCAAGCUGCUGAACGAAACAGAAGACAAACGAGAGGAGGAAGGUUUUUUAUAACAUCAGAGAUCUAAUAUUCCAGUUAGUACUCCGGCUGGGG
Long non-coding RNA from Dermochelys coriacea (leatherback sea turtle), 760 nucleotides. RefSeq lists it as uncharacterized. The transcript is spliced from 3 exons. NCBI's taxonomy places the organism in Eukaryota, Metazoa, Chordata, Testudines, Dermochelyidae. The record is from RefSeq and is a predicted model, not a curated record.